UGGGGAAUUUUGGACAAUGGGGGAAACCCUGAUCCAGCCAUCCCGCGUGUGCGAUGAAGGCCUUCGGGUUGUAAAGCACUUUUGGCAGGAAAGAAACGUCAUGGGUUAAUACCCCGUGAAACUGACGGUACCUGCAGAAUAAGCACCGGCUAACUACGUGCCAGCAGCCGCGGUAAUACGUAGGGUGCAAGCGUUAAUCGGAAUUACUGGGCGUAAAGCGUGCGCAGGCGGUUCGGAAAGAAAGAUGUGAAAUCCCAGAGCUCAACUUUGGAACUGCAUUUUUAACUACCGGGCUAGAGUGUGUCAGAGGGGGGAGGAAUUCCGCGUGUAGCAGUGAAAUGCGUAGAUAGGCGGAGGAACACCGAUGGCGAAGGCAGCCUCCUGGGAUAACACUGACGCUCAUGCACGAAAGCGUGGGGAGCAAACAGG
RNAcentral lists this ribosomal RNA (429 nucleotides) under Acidobacteriota bacterium. Its description in RNAcentral is "Acidobacteria bacterium partial 16S ribosomal RNA". It matches the Rfam family "Bacterial small subunit ribosomal RNA", at positions 355 to 776 of the family's 1533-position model. The record is from RNAcentral. Lineage: Bacteria; Pseudomonadati; Acidobacteriota.